Molecule: long non-coding RNA, 107 nt
Organism: Rhagoletis zephyria (snowberry fruit fly)
Lineage: Eukaryota; Metazoa; Arthropoda; Insecta; Diptera; Tephritidae
Source: RefSeq, a predicted model, not a curated record
GUUCUCUGCAAAAGGUGUUCUCUGCAAAAGGUGUUCUCUGCAAAAGGUGUUCUGCCCCUUUUCUUUGGCAACACAGAAAGGAGUAUUCUACGUUGUGAGGAAUAUAA